Molecule: ribosomal RNA, 462 nt
Filed under: uncultured bacterium
Lineage: Bacteria
Description: partial 16S ribosomal RNA
Rfam family: Bacterial small subunit ribosomal RNA
Source: RNAcentral
AUGAACGCUGACAGAAUGCUUAACACAUGCAAGUCGAUGGGGAAGUGGUGCUUGCACCCUGGCAACCAUGGCGGACGGGUGAGUAACGCGUAAGGGACUUACCUGCAGGACUGGGAUAACAGGGGGAAACUCCUGACAAGACCGGAUAAUGUCAUGGAGCUGCAUGGCUUUAUGAUGAAAGGAGACGCCUGCGGAGAGCCUUGCGUCCUAUUAGCUAGUUGGUGAGGUAAUGGCUCACCAAGGCGAAGAUAGGUAGCCGGCCUGAGAGGGUGGACGGCCACAAGGGGACUGAGAUACGGCCCUUACGCCUACGGGAGGCAGCAGUGGGGAAUAUUGGACAAUGGGGGCAACCCUGAUCCAGCAAUUCUGUGUGCACGAAGAAGGUUUUCGGAGUGUAAAGUGCUUUCAGCAGGGAAGAAGUAAGUGACGGUACCUGCAGAAGAAGCGACGGCUAAAUACGUG